CCUACGGGAGGCAGCAGUAGGGAAUCUUUCACAAUGGGCGAAAGCCUGAUGGAGCAACGCCGCGUGCAGGAUGAAGGCCUUCGGGUUGUAAACUGCUUUUAUAAGCGAGAAAUAUGAUGGUAACUUAUGAAUAAGGAUCGGCUAACUACGUGCCAGCAGCCGCGGUCAUACGUAGGAUCCGAGCAUUAUCCGGAGUGACUGGGUGUAAAGAGUUGCGUAGGUGGCAUAAUAAGUAGCUAGUGAAAUCUGGUGGCUCAACCAUUCAGACUAUUAGCUAAACUGUUAAGCUCGAGACCGUUAGGGGUAACUGGAAUUGCUAGUGUAGGAGUGAAAUCCGUAGAUAUUAGAAGGAACACCAAUAGCGUAGGCAGGUUGCUGGGACGGUUCUGACACGAAGGCACGAAAGCGUAGGGAGCAAACGGGAUUAGAUACCCCGGUAGUC
RNAcentral lists this ribosomal RNA (442 nucleotides) under uncultured bacterium. Its description in RNAcentral is "partial 16S ribosomal RNA". It matches the Rfam family "Bacterial small subunit ribosomal RNA", at positions 338 to 795 of the family's 1533-position model. The record is from RNAcentral.